RNAcentral lists this small RNA (64 nucleotides) under Xanthomonas oryzae. Its description in RNAcentral is "sX9". It matches the Rfam family "Xanthomonas sRNA sX9". Lineage: Bacteria; Pseudomonadati; Pseudomonadota; Gammaproteobacteria; Lysobacterales; Lysobacteraceae. The record is from RNAcentral.
AUGCAUGCCGAUUCCGAGCACCGGCCGCGCCCGCCUGACAGCUGCUCGCUACGGUUUGUUAGCC